AUACAUUUCUCGGUCUUUUGGUUAAGAUAAAUAGUGGUAUUUGUUCUUAUCAGUUUCAUAUCUUAUAUGUGGACAAUGUGUUCAUUUUAAUAUUAAUUUUAUUUUUAUGGGUAUCAAAUAUGAUCAUGUGCCAUCGCAACGUAC
RNAcentral lists this small nuclear RNA (144 nucleotides) under Zea mays. RNAcentral describes it as "U2 spliceosomal RNA". It matches the Rfam family "U2 spliceosomal RNA". Rfam says of the family: U2 is a small nuclear RNA (snRNA) component of the spliceosome (involved in pre-mRNA splicing). Complementary binding between U2 snRNA (in an area lying towards the 5' end but 3' to hairpin I) and the branchpoint sequence (BPS) of the intron results the bulging out of an unpaired adenosine, on the BPS, which initiates a nucleophilic attack at the intronic 5' splice site, thus starting the first of two transesterification reactions that mediate splicing. The record is from Rfam by way of RNAcentral. Lineage: Eukaryota; Viridiplantae; Streptophyta; Magnoliopsida; Poales; Poaceae.